Anopheles coluzzii is the source of this 2535-nucleotide long non-coding RNA. RefSeq lists it as uncharacterized. The record is from RefSeq and is a predicted model, not a curated record. The transcript has 4 exons. NCBI's taxonomy places the organism in Eukaryota, Metazoa, Arthropoda, Insecta, Diptera, Culicidae.
ACUGCGAACCUCUUUAGUUUAGGACCAGCUACUGAGGCUAUAUAUCCUUCUUUUCUUUUUUUCCUUUUUGUCGUUUGAUUUGUUCUAUCGAUUCGUUAUUUUUGUCUCUGUGUUCCUUUUUGUGAACCUUGUGAGCGUUUCUACAUACACCGAGACUGCAGCUGAGAGAUGGCUGUGAGAGAAUUGACUACCGGUUUCUCACGCUGGUGUGUGUAGAAGCUCUGAAAAGCGCCGAGAUGAGACUUUUAAAAUGAUGUUGAAAAAAUCCAUUUUAAUCGCUAAAAUGAAGUCAAAAAAGUUUCUUUUACUUUUUAAUAAUAUUUCUACGAUUAUAAGACGGCAAAAAUGCACUCUAUAAUUGAUCAAUUGCUAUAAACUGCCAAUUCAAUUUUUUCUCAGCUCCAUCGUUCUUUGUAUGCCGAAGAGAAUUCUCUCACCGAAAAUGCAUGCUGUCAGUUAUUUUCUCAGCAGCAUUCUCGGUGUAUGUAGUAACGCUCUGUGUUGUUUUUUUCUGACUGUUGCUCUGUUUAUGAGUUGUUGCGUUUAUGAGUUCGGGUAGGAUUCUAAGGUAGUUCAUAUUUGAUUACAGGCGUCCCCCGAGUUACGACCCCCUCGAGUUACGACGAUUCGCAGAUACGACGAUUUUGAUUUUGACAGUUAAAAGUUGUCAUUGAGACGGAAUUAGUAUAUUUUUUGAAUUGCUGUGCUUAUAACCGUUACAAACACAUUUCCAUUGAUUCCACAACUCUCCGGUCUUGAAUUUCUAUAUCGCUUUUGGUGAAAAGACAUACAUUAUCGUACAUUAUUUUAAAUAAAAUACACGAUUUCUUAGAUUCCGACUCUUCAAUUUCAGUUAUAAACUUUAUAAUCACAUAUAUUCGACAUACGACUAUUUCGACUUACGCCUUGCUUUGGGACAUUUUUUCGGUCCCAAAUACAGUCGUAUAUCGGGGGACACCUGUACAGUGGAGCGCCGUUUAUUCGGGUACCUUUUAUCCGGCUAUACAGGUUACGUCAAAAGCCCGUUUUGGCCGAUUUCCAAUAAAAAAAUGAAUGAAAAUUUUGACAGACAAAUUGGAAUGGUUUGUUUACAAUUGGACUGGUUUGUUUACAAUUUGACUGGAUUGCAAUCGUGCAAUGCUGUGGCAACGGAGAAAUCGACUAAGUGAGAUUCCAGUAAAAAUAUGCUUUCGUUGUCGUGAAAAGAUCCAACAUGAAGGAGUUUAAGAUUGUGUCAGGGAAAAGGAUUACAUCGAGCAAGUGGAGAAUUAAUGUGAAAUCAUUCGCUUCUCAGCAUUACCAGCAUUACGGACAAGGAGAUAAACAAGCGUGUGAAGUACACAGCUAGAAAGCAUAUGUUGGAGGGAAAAUGUAUGCUGUUUUUGGAACUUGCACGAUGUCUCAGGUGGGUGUGCAGUGCAGACACAGUUUUACCUUACGAGUUUCUUUUCCGUCCAACAACAGUAAAGUAUAUAUGGAGAGGGAGGGGUGCAAUGUGCCGUACUUUCCCAAAGUAAUCACUGUUCGUAAUAGGUGAGGAAUAUUAUCAUGCCUGGCUGUUGCACAGUAUCCAUUGGGAUGAGGUCUAAGGCUAACGGACGAUGUCCCAUUCCGCCCUACUGCAACAUACCCAAGCGCCACAGAUUAAGCUUAAACGACUGGAAAAUUGAAUAUCCAUAGAAAAAAAAUGAAAGCUCCACAGCUUCAUUGGUUUGAUCAAUAGAUGGCGUAUUAAAACUAAUCAUUAUAUUGCUAUCCUUUUCUUGCAAUGUGUUUCCGACAAGUUUCAUCUUAUUAUGACCUUAUAGCCUUCUAACUUGCUGAGCAAAAAUCUAUAUAAAUGGUCGUGUGGUCAGAUACGUGGGUAUCAACACCAACGACUAGGCAUGGGCAAAACGAUUCUUUUCACCGAACGCGAACGAACUAGUUCGCUCACCAAAAAGAACCGAACGCGAACGACGAUUCUUUCGUUCUUUGUUUCAUGAGGUUUUUAUUCACAAAGAACGGUCGUUAUCUUUUUCAUUUACCCACCAUAGACGCAUACUGUAGCCAAAGAAGUACUCAUUCUGCGGUUGAAACCAAUAAUUUAAAAACAUUAAACACUUAGCUGUCUGUUCAACACAAUCCAUCGCAAAACCGACUAAAAACUAGCAUGUAAAAAACUAAUACGAGCAAAAAUGUCUCCUGCAUAUAUUGUACCCCAUGCCUUAUACACACUCAAGGAUUCUAAAAAACAAAAUUAUUUAAAUAUGGAUCAACAUGAUGAGCCAAACAAUGACUAAUCCGUUUGAACGGGCUUGAUCUAUUGAAUUGUAUAGGUAUAAUUUCCAUACCAACAGAACACAGAUCGAACACCAGUUCGAACGCGUUCGAUGAAUUCAGUUGUGUAGGUACGAUUUAUACACCAACAGAACACAGAUCGAACACCAGUUCGAACGCGUUCGAUGAAUUCAGUUGUGUAGGUACGAUUUAUACACCAACAGAACACAGAUCGAACACUAACGGAUCAGAUCGAAAGCGUUCGAUGAAUUCAGU